CCUACGGGAGGCAGCAGUGGGGAAUAUUGGGCAAUGGAGGAAACUCUGACCCAGCAACGCCGCGUGAAGGAUGAAGGCCCUCGGGUUGUAAAGUUCUUUUCUAAGGGAAGAAAAAAGUGACGGUACCUUAUGAAUAAGCCUCGGCUAACUACGUGCCAGCAGCCGCGGUAAUACGUAGGAGGCGAGCGUUAUCCGGAUGUACUGGGUGUAAAGGGCGCGUAGGUGGUUUUGCAAGUCAGCUGCGAAACUCCACGGCUCAACCUUGGAACUGCAACUCAAACUGUGGGACUUGAGUGCAGGAGGGGCAGCCGGAAUUCCUGGUGUAGCGGUGGAAUGCGUAGAUAUUAGGAGGAACACCAGUGGCGAAGGCGGGUUGCUAGACUGUAACUGACGCUGAGGCACGAAAGCGUGGGGAGCAAACAGGAUUAGAUACCCGAGUAGUC
Molecule: ribosomal RNA, 443 nt
Filed under: uncultured bacterium
Lineage: Bacteria
Description: partial 16S ribosomal RNA
Rfam family: Bacterial small subunit ribosomal RNA
Source: RNAcentral